This 439-nucleotide ribosomal RNA is filed under the name uncultured bacterium. RNAcentral describes it as "partial 16S ribosomal RNA". It matches the Rfam family "Bacterial small subunit ribosomal RNA", at positions 339 to 795 of the family's 1533-position model. The record is from RNAcentral.
CUACGGGCUGCUCCAGUGGGGAAUAUUGCACAAUGGAGGAAACUCUGAUGCAGCAACGCCGCGUGGAGGAUGACACUUUUCGGAGCGUAAACUCCUUUUAUAUAGGAAGAUAAUGACGGUACUAUAUGAAUAAGCACCGGCUAACUCCGUGCCAGCAGCCGCGGUAAUACGGAGGGUGCAAGCGUUACUCGGAAUCACUGGGCGUAAAGAGCGUGUAGGCGGAUAGAUAAGUCAGGAGUGAAAUCCUAUGGCUCAACCAUAGAACUGCUCUUGAAACUGUCUAUCUAGAAUAUGGGAGAGGUAGAUGGAAUUUCUGGUGUAGGGGUAAAAUCCGUAGAGAUCAGAAGGAAUACCGAUUGCGAAGGCGAUCUACUGGAACAUUAUUGACGCUGAGACGCGAAAGCGUGGGGAGCAAACAGGAUUAGAUACCCGGGUAGUC